GUCUUCUCCGAGACCCGCGGCGCUGGGAGCUCCGCGUGCGAACUUGCCCGGGGCGAAAUCUGUUGCCCACCCUGGUCCCACCGUGCGAGCACACCUAGGCAGGUGCGACUAAGGGGCCGGGGGCGUCUCCCCAGCGCUGGAAAACGCUGUGCAGCGCCCUUCCCAGAUUUCUGCGUCCGCGCAACACAAACACACGCAACGCUAUCUCUACAAAAGGGUCAAUAAUAGGUGUUAUCCAGCGACCGAAACCCAGCUUUGGGCCGCGUGGAUAAAUACCUGUCCUCCCUACCAAGUGCACUGUGAGCCUGGAGGUGCUGCUAACGCUGGGAGAAGCGGUAGUGAAAUGAAGCGAGGCGACAGCUUUUACCAGUGUAGGGACAUUUAAAAACGGGAUAGAGAGCACAAGGAGCGUAGACAGUGUGUUAAGGGCAAUAAAGAGCGGGAAGGGAGCCCCGAUUCCUCUUCUGUUUGUUCUCAUGAUAGUCUUUUCCCCUUUAAUUUGAGUUCUAUGUUUUGUAUUGGGCUGAUACUUUUAGUCCUCGGCAAUAGGGUUGUGAGUCCUUUUUUGACUGCUUAGAAUUUUCCCCCUGGGAAUUGCUAGUCCGAUUUGCAAUCUUUCAGAGGGACAAAUGAAGUAACUCCAUAUACUUAGGACUCUGUACACCUACUCAAAUUUGGUCAUCUCGGUAAGUACCCAGGACAAGACGUUGAAGGAGUGAAGGUGUGCCAUUCCAAAAUAUGCCUAAUUGGUAUAUUGAUUAUUUCGAGCGGAAAACAUUGGAGAAAUGGUAGUUUCAGAAAGGGCAAGCUGACCUGCCUCUUCGAUGCAGCAGGCCACAAAGAUUUCUCUGGGAUGGGCAUCCUCUCCCUACCACGGUGAGAAAAUAGCCUUUAUCACCAAAGGCUUGGAA
This 911-nucleotide long non-coding RNA is filed under the name Homo sapiens (human). RNAcentral's name for it is "non-protein coding lnc-NDUFAF2-7:2". Lineage: Eukaryota; Metazoa; Chordata; Mammalia; Primates; Hominidae. The record is from RNAcentral.